This 908-nucleotide ribosomal RNA is filed under the name Limosilactobacillus fermentum. Its description in RNAcentral is "bacterial SSU rRNA". It matches the Rfam family "Bacterial small subunit ribosomal RNA", at positions 51 to 873 of the family's 1533-position model. Lineage: Bacteria; Bacillati; Bacillota; Bacilli; Lactobacillales; Lactobacillaceae. The record is from RNAcentral.
AUAUAGCACCUCUAGCCGCUGUUGAGCUUUCUUGCAUUCGACGCGUUGGCCCAAUUGAUUGAUGGUGCUUGCACCUGAUUGAUUUUGGUCGCCAACGAGUGGCGGACGGGUGAGUAACACGUAGGUAACCUGCCCAGAAGCGGGGGACAACAUUUGGAAACAGAUGCUAAUACCGCAUAACAACGUUGUUCGCAUGAACAACGCUUAAAAGAUGGCUUCUCGCUAUCACUUCUGGAUGGACCUGCGGUGCAUUAGCUUGUUGGUGGGGUAACGGCCUACCAAGGCGAUGAUGCAUAGCCGAGUUGAGAGACUGAUCGGCCACAAUGGGACUGAGACACGGCCCAUACUCCUACGGGAGGCAGCAGUAGGGAAUCUUCCACAAUGGGCGCAAGCCUGAUGGAGCAACACCGCGUGAGUGAAGAAGGGUUUCGGCUCGUAAAGCUCUGUUGUUAAAGAAGAACACGUAUGAGAGUAACUGUUCAUACGUUGACGGUAUUUAACCAGAAAGUCACGGCUAACUACGUGCCAGCAGCCGCGGUAAUACGUAGGUGGCAAGCGUUAUCCGGAUUUAUUGGGCGUAAAGAGAGUGCAGGCGGUUUUCUAAGUCUGAUGUGAAAGCCUUCGGCUUAACCGGAGAAGUGCAUCGGAAACUGGAUAACUUGAGUGCAGAAGAGGGUAGUGGAACUCCAUGUGUAGCGGUGGAAUGCGUAGAUAUAUGGAAGAACACCAGUGGCGAAAGGCGGCUACCUGGUCUGCAACUGACGCUGAGACUCGAAAGCAUGGGUAGCGAACAGGAUUAGAUACCCUGGUAGUUCAUGCCGUAAACGAUGAGUGCUAGGUGUUGGAGGGUUUCCGGCCCUUCCAUGGCCGGGAGCUAAACGCAUUUAAAGGCACUUCCGCGCCCUGAG